AUGCCUCAAGUCAAGUCAAGUAACAAGAACAAGAAAGAUUCUCCUUCUAGUAGUAACAAUAAUCAUGCUAAAUCCAAUAUUGUUGCUUCUAGUAGUUCUCUUGAUUCCACUAAUGAUUCUCUUAGGCAAGUUACACUUGAGCAAGAAAAUAGCUUAUUGAAGGGAAUUAUAGAGAAAGGUGUUUACAAGAGCCUUGCCGGAAGUAAGCAAUUCGAGGAGAUUGUACGCAAGCAAGGGAGGCACCGGAAGAAUCAAGGUGUUGCUUUUGAACGAAAGUUCAAUGCCAAUGGAGUUGAGCGGAAAGAAGAUCAAUACCCCAAGACGAAGUUUGUUCCUCAACAAGAUAAGUACGAUCCUACUUCUUUCAAGGGAACACAAGCUCAAGAUGAUCUUCCACCACAAGACCACAAGCAAAAGGCAAGGGCACGCUUCAAGAGGGGAUUGUUGCAUUUGAAGAAGCUCCUAAGGCCUUGGUCAAGUGGAUUCCCAAGACUACAUCAAGUUCUACUUCAUCAAGUAUGA
Molecule: ribosomal RNA, 522 nt
Filed under: Triticum aestivum (bread wheat)
Lineage: Eukaryota; Viridiplantae; Streptophyta; Magnoliopsida; Poales; Poaceae
Description: partial small subunit ribosomal RNA
Source: RNAcentral